RNAcentral lists this ribosomal RNA (493 nucleotides) under uncultured bacterium. Its description in RNAcentral is "partial 16S ribosomal RNA". It matches the Rfam family "Bacterial small subunit ribosomal RNA", at positions 30 to 523 of the family's 1533-position model. The record is from RNAcentral.
AUUGAACGCUGGCGGCAUGCCUUACACAUGCAAGUCGAACGGUAACAGGUUAAGCUGACGAGUGGCGAACGGGUGAGUAAUAUAUCGGAACGUGCCCAGUCGUGGGGGAUAACUGCUCGAAAGAGCAGCUAAUACCGCAUACGACCUGAGGGUGAAAGCGGGGGAUCGCAAGACCUCGCGCGAUUGGAGCGGCCGAUAUCAGAUUAGGUAGUUGGCGGGGACAAGGCCCACCAAGCCAACGAUCUGUAGCUGGUCUGAGAGGACGACCCGCCACACUGGGACUGAGACACGACCCAGGCUCCUACGGGAGGCAGCAGUGGGGAAUUUUGGACAAUGGGCGCAAGCCUGAUCCAGCCAUGCCGCGUGCGGGAAGAAGGCCUUCGGGUUGUAAACCGCUUUUGUCAGGGAAGAAAAGGUUCUGGUUAAUACCUGGGACUCAUGACGGUACCUGAAGAAUAAGCUCCGGCUAACUCCGUGCCAGCCGCCGCCGUAA